Molecule: ribosomal RNA, 652 nt
Filed under: uncultured soil bacterium
Lineage: Bacteria
Description: bacterial SSU rRNA
Rfam family: Bacterial small subunit ribosomal RNA
Source: RNAcentral
GACGAACGCUGGCGGCGUACCUAAUACAUGCAAGUCGAGCGAAUCAAUGGGAGCUUGCUCCCUGAGAUUAGCGGCGGACGGGUGAGUAACACGUGGGUAACCUGCCUGUAAGAUUGGGAUAACUCCGGGAAACCGGAGCUAAUACCGGAUAAUUUCGAGCAUCGCAUGAUGCUUGAUGGAAAGACGGCUUCGGCUGUCACUUACAGAUGGACCCGCGUCGCGUUAGCUAGUUGGUGAGGUAACGGCUCACCAAGGCGACGAUGCGUAGCCGACCUGAGAGGGUGAUCGGCCACACUGGGACUGAGACACGGCCCAGACUCCUACGGGAGGCAGCAGUAGGGAAUCUUCGGCAAUGGGCGAAAGCCUGACCGAGCAACGCCGCGUGAGCGAUGAAGGCCUUCGGGUCGUAAAGCUCUGUUGUUAAGGAAGAACAAGUACGAGAGUGACUGCUCGUACCUUGACGGUACUUAACGAGAAAGCCACGGCUAACUACGUGCCAGCAGCCGCGGUAAUACGUAGGUGGCGAGCGUUAUCCGGAAUUAUUGGGCGUAAAGCGCGCGCAGGCGGUUUCUUAAGUCUGAUGUGAAAGCCCACGGCUCAACCGUGGAGGGUCAUUGGAAACUGGGAAACUUUGAGUGCAGAAGAAGAAAGC